GACGAACGCUGGCGGCGUGCUUAACACAUGCAAGUCGAACGGAAAGGCCCUGCUUUUGUGGGGUGCUCGAGUGGCGAACGGGUGAGUAACACGUGAGUAACCUGCCCUUGACUUUGGGAUAACUUCAGGAAACUGGGGCUAAUACCGGAUAGGAGCUCCUGCUGCAUGGUGGGGGUUGGAAAGUUUCGGCGGUUGGGGAUGGACUCGCGGCUUAUCAGCUUGUUGGUGGGGUAGUGGCUUACCAAGGCUUUGACGGGUAGCCGGCCUGGGAGGGUGACCGGCCACAUUGGGACUGAGAUACGGCCCAGACUCCUACGGGAGGCAGCAGUGGGGAAUAUUGCACAAUGGGCGGAAGCCUGAUGCAGCAACGCCGCGUGCGGGAGGACGGCCUUCGGGUUGUAAACCGCUUUCGCCUGUGACGAAGCGUGAGUGACGGUAAUGGGUAAAGAAGCACCGGCUAACUACGU
This 467-nucleotide ribosomal RNA is filed under the name uncultured bacterium. Its description in RNAcentral is "partial 16S ribosomal RNA". It matches the Rfam family "Bacterial small subunit ribosomal RNA", at positions 28 to 506 of the family's 1533-position model. The record is from RNAcentral.